AUUGCAUAUCAAUAAGCGGAGGAAAAGAAACCAACAGGGAUUGCCUUAGUAGCGGCGAGUGAAGCGGCAAAAGCUCAAAUUUGAAAUCUGGCUCUUUCAGAGUCCGAGUUGUAAUUUGAAGAAGGUAUCUUUGGGUCUGGCUCUUGUCUAUGUUUCUUGGAACAGAACGUCACAGAGGGUGAGAAUCCCGUGCGAUGAGAUGAUCCAGGCCUAUGUAAAGUUCCUUCGAAGAGUCGAGUUGUUUGGGAAUGCAGCUCUAAGUGGGUGGUAAAUUCCAUCUAAAGCUAAAUAUUGGCGAGAGACCGAUAGCGAACAAGUACAGUGAUGGAAAGAUGAAAAGAACUUUGAAAAGAGAGUGAAAAAGUACGUGAAAUUGUUGAAAGGGAAGGGCUUGAGAUCAGACUUGGUAUUUUGUAUGUUACUUCUUCGGGGGUGGCCUCUACAGUUUAUCGGGCCAGCAUCAGUUUGGGCGGUAGGAGAAUUGCGUUGGAAUGUGGCACGGCUUCGGUUGUGUGUUAUAGCCUUCGUCGAUACUGCCAGCCUAGACUGAGGACUGCGGUUUAUACCUAGGAUGUUGGCAUAAUGAUCUUAAGUCGCCCGUCUUGAAACACGGACCAAUC
This 620-nucleotide ribosomal RNA is filed under the name uncultured fungus. RNAcentral's name for it is "eukaryotic LSU rRNA". It matches the Rfam family "Eukaryotic large subunit ribosomal RNA", at positions 36 to 671 of the family's 3401-position model. The record is from RNAcentral. Lineage: Eukaryota; Fungi.